AUGACACAUUCUAGAUUUUCUGGGACAGUUUCUGAUUUCAAGUUACUUAUUGUUUUUUCCCUAAAAGCAUUUCUGCUUAUCUGGGUCUAGUUUUUUUUUAUUCAGAAGGUAGUAAUAUAUUGCAUGCUGUUCCCCCAAGGCAUUUUAGUUGCUGUCCUUUACCUUUACUUUCAGUUUUCUGCUAUAUCAUCUGUGGAUUCCUGCAUUAAGGAUACAAGGGAACAGGGACACCUGAGUGGCUCAGUUGGUUAAGUGUUGACUCUUGAUUUCAGCUCAGGUCAUGAUCUCAGGGUCCUGGGAUCAGACCCCUGAAUGAGGCUACCCGCACAACAGAGAGUCUGCUUGUGGAUUCUCCUUCUCCCUCUGCUGGCUUGCUCUCUCUCUCUCUCUCUCUCAAGUAAAUAAAUAAAUAAAUAAAUAAAUAAAUAAAUAAAUAAAUAAAUAAAUAAAAUAAGAGAACAGUGUAUGACAAGUAAUUUACCAAAAACUUCCUUAAGAUUAAAUAAAAAUUAAUUCAAAUUAAAUGGAAAUUGGAGCUAUUAUCCCAAAAAAUCCGGCAACUAGCUUUCUAGUGAGUUCUCCCUCUCCCCCACGUAUAUGAGUACUGGGGGAGGAUAUAUGAAUUUUGGCUUGAACUAUGAUAUACACCAUCUAGGUUUAUUAAUCUCAUGAGAUAACUAUGCAAUCUGCCCCUGAGGGUUUCCUGGUGAUGAAAUUUUUCUUACUGUUUUCACAUUUUGCUUUGCACCUAUACAUUUCUCUCUCUCUCACUUUCUCUCUCUCUCUCUCUUUUCCGAGCUAGAAAUCCAUAAGUACCAAAGUUUAUUUUUUAAAAAGAUUUUAUUUAUUUAUUUGACAGAGAGAGAGUGUGAGAGAGCAUAAGCUGGGGGAGUGGCAGAAGGAGAGGGAGAAGUAGACUCCCUAGGAAUCCUGACUCGGGACUUGAUCCCAAGACCCCAGAACCAUGACCUGAGCUGAAGGCAGACAACCAUGGGAGCCACCCAGGCACCCCAGUACUAGAGUUUAUUUUUAACCAAGUCAUGAAUGUGAGUUGAAGAAUCAUGGACAGAGAGGGUCACCUGUGUUAGUUCUGAUCUCUAGUCAUGGGAUCCAAGCCCAUGAGGGGUUUUGUGAUCAGUACAGGGUCUGUUUGAGUUUCUUUCUCCCUCUACCCCUCACCCCCCCACACACACUCUUUUCCUCACUCCCACUGAAAUAAAUAAAUAAUCUUUUUAAAAAAAUCAUGUAUGGAGAACAUUUUGUUUGCUCCUUGAGUGCUUAAAAUCAGUAAUUAGCUGAAGUGAAUCUUCACAUAAAUACUGCAUUUUUAAAAAAUUUUAUUUAUUUAUUCAUGAGAGACACAGAGACAGGCAGAGACACAGGCAGAAGAGAAGCAGGCUCCCUGCAGGGAGCCUGAUGCGGGACUUGAUUCUAGGACCCUAGGAUCAUGACCUGAACGAAGGCAGACACUCAACCAAUGAGCCACCCAAGCAUCCCUAAAUACUGAAUUUUAAUGAAUAUGUCCUCUUUACAGUUCCUCAGAGGCUUUGGUCUGUAAAGUUAUCCUCAGUAUGGCUGAACCUAUCACUUAGAAAUAGUUUGAGGAGAAAACACCCAUGUAUAGACAUGAAUAUUUGUUUAAAGAUUUUAUUUAUUUGAGAGAGAGAGCGAGCACACAUGAGCCAGGGAAGAGGCAGAGGAAGAAGCAGACUCCUUGCUGAGUGGGGAGCCCCAUGUGGGGUUUAAACCCAGGACCCUGAGAUCAUGACCUGAGCUGAAGGCAAACACCCAACUGACUGAGCCACCCAGAUCACCUAGAAAUUAAUAUUUUUUUAAAAAAAGAAAUGAAAAAAAAAAAAGAAAAAGAAAAAAAAAA
RNAcentral lists this long non-coding RNA (1876 nucleotides) under Canis lupus familiaris (dog). RNAcentral's name for it is "lncRNA (ENSCAFG00845009043.1)". The record is from RNAcentral. Lineage: Eukaryota; Metazoa; Chordata; Mammalia; Carnivora; Canidae.